RNAcentral lists this long non-coding RNA (1258 nucleotides) under Bos taurus (domestic cattle). RNAcentral describes it as "long non-coding RNA NONBTAT004736". The record is from RNAcentral. Lineage: Eukaryota; Metazoa; Chordata; Mammalia; Artiodactyla; Bovidae.
CUAGGAAGCUUAUACAUUUUAUUUUUAUAAGAUAUUUCACAUACAGGCAUAUAUUUCAAUCAUAUAUGCAAACAUUUCAUGGUAAUAAUUUAUUGCCAUUUAUUUCUAAACUUAAAUUUGAAAAUAUACAAUAAUUUAACUCACCAAUAUAAAAAUGUUUCAGUCCUUAUCCUUUUGUAUAUAUCAAAAUAAUUUUCAAGAUUAAACUUUAUUCACAAUAAUCUUAGUAACAAUUUUCACAUCUUGCGCCCCUAUACAUAUAUAUGUCCUUUGUAUGACAGUGUAUAUUUUGUGUCAAACCUAUUAUAUAAGUUAGUAGGUUAAAAGCUCCGGGAUGAUAGUUUCAUAGUUUAUCAUCACAAAACAGUAUAUUUAAUACUCUAGUCUAUGUAAUUACUCCUGCUAGGGUUUUAACAGUUGCUCCACCCAGUCUGUGAACAGAGUGUCUUUAUAGAGCCUGUAAAGGAAUAUGGUUCUAAAGAAAUCAGUCCAAUUGUUGCAGCAAUACAAGGGCUGGUGCAAAGUAAACAUUUGUGUGGUAUCUUAAGAAAGAAUGUCACUCCCAUACAUUUCACUGCUGAUUUGCAUUUCUGUAUGUCAUCACAGCAACUAGGGGGAAAAAAGCAACAAUCACUAUUCUUUUAUGUAAAUGAACAAUAAAACAAGCCUAACUUUUAAAUAAAACUGAUGGCCUAAAAAUGUUUUUAUUUAAGUUCAAUCAGUUCUUUAUACUUGCAUAUGUGUUUGUGUUCGAACUGGACAUGAAUUGCAGGGAAAACUUAAAAGAGUUAACUGACUGUAGAACUUCCUACUUGUACACACCACAUGGCUAGGACAAAUCCACACUGCCAAAGAGGCAAGCAAGUUCCCCGGAAGGGCAGGCCAACUUGUGAAUGAAACUUCAGAAUGAUCGUGUUAGAAGAUGUGCUGCAAGCAUACCAAGAAGUGAGGAAAAUCUGCAAACAAAAUAUGCUGUUUGAUCUUUGCAUUGUCAAAUACAAAGGAAAAAGCUGCUCCUACUAAAGGAAAUUGUGCUUAACAGCAUAAAAAUAUUCCAGUACAGAGUGACUAGUACGUUUCACUUUUGUCUUUCAGAGAAACGUUUUACACUUCUUAGUGAUUUUGAACACCUUCAUCCUAUCUGUGCGUGAGAUACUGUGAGGCUAACUGUACCAUAAACCGAUCAGCAUAUGGAUGACUAGCGACUAGAGCAAAAACAAACCCCCAGAAUUUUAAAAGAUCUGAUGAGUCGGCCAAG